GACGUAGGAUGCAAGCGUUGUCCGGACUUAUUGGGCGUAAAGAGUUCGUAGGCGGUUCGUUAAGUUCGAUGUUAAAGACCGGGGCCCAACCCCGGGACUGCAUUGAAUACUGGCGGACUGGAGUGCAGUAGAGGCAAGUGGAAUUCCCAGUGUAGCGGUGAAAUGCGUAGAUAUUGGGAAGAACACCAGUGGCGUAAGCGACUUGCUGGGCUGUAACUGACGCUGAGGAACGAAAGCCAGGGGAGCGAAUGGG
Molecule: ribosomal RNA, 253 nt
Filed under: uncultured bacterium
Lineage: Bacteria
Description: partial 16S ribosomal RNA
Rfam family: Bacterial small subunit ribosomal RNA
Source: RNAcentral